RNAcentral lists this non-coding RNA (28 nucleotides) under Rattus norvegicus (Norway rat). The record is from RNAcentral. Lineage: Eukaryota; Metazoa; Chordata; Mammalia; Rodentia; Muridae.
UUCUACAGUUGUGCAUUGUUUCUCCUAA